ACUUACGGCCAUACCAUCCUGAAUACGCCCGAUCUCGUCUGAUCUCGGAAGAUAAGCAGGGUCGGGCCUGGUUAGUACUUUGAUGGGAGACCGCCUGGGAAUACCAGGUGCUGUAAGUG
Molecule: ribosomal RNA, 119 nt
Filed under: Hucho hucho (huchen)
Lineage: Eukaryota; Metazoa; Chordata; Actinopteri; Salmoniformes; Salmonidae
Source: RNAcentral